CAAGUCGAGCGGAGAUGAGGUGCUUGCACCUUAUCUUAGCGGCGGACGGGUGAGUAAUGCUUAGGAAUCUGCCUAUUAGUGGGGGACAACAUUCCGAAAGGAAUGCUAAUACCGCAUACGUCCUACGGGAGAAAGCAGGGGAUCUUCGGACCUUGCGCUAAUAGAUGAGCCUAAAUCGGAUUAGCUAGUUGGUGGGGUAAAGGCCUACCAAGGCGACGAUCUGUAGCGGGUCUGAGAGGAUGAUCCGCCACGCUGGGACUGAGACACGGCCCAGACUCCUACGGGAGGCAGCAGUGGGGAAUAUUGGACAAUGGGGGGAACCCUGAUCCAGCCAUGCCGCGUGUGUGAAGAAGGCCUUAUGGUUGUAAAGCACUUUAAGCGAGGAGGAGGCUACUGAGACUAAUACUCUUGGAUAGUGGACGUUACUCGCAGAAUAAGCACCGGCUAACUCUGUGCCAGCAGCCGCGGUAAUACAGAGGGUGCGAGCGUUAAUCGGAUUUACUGGGCGUAAAGCGUGCGUAGGCGGCUUUUUAAGUCGGAUGUGAAAUCCCCGAGCUUAACUUGGGAAUUGCAUUCGAUACUGGGAAGCUAGAGUAUGGGAGAGGAUGGUAGAAUUCCAGGUGUAGCGGUGAAAUGCGUAGAGAUCUGGAGGAACACCGAUGGCGAAGGCAGCCAUCUGGCCUAAUACUGACGCUGAGGUACGAAAGCAUGGGGAGCAAACAGGAUUAGAUACCCUGGUAGUCCAUGCCGUAAACGAUGUCUACUAGCCGUUGGGGCCUUUGAGGCU
RNAcentral lists this ribosomal RNA (787 nucleotides) under uncultured bacterium. RNAcentral's name for it is "bacterial SSU rRNA". It matches the Rfam family "Bacterial small subunit ribosomal RNA", at positions 58 to 839 of the family's 1533-position model. The record is from RNAcentral.